GACGAACGCUGGCGGCGUGCUUAACACAUGCAAGUCGAACGGAAAGGCCCUGCUUUUGUGGGGUGCUCGAGUGGCGAACGGGUGAGUAACACGUGAGUAACCUGCCCUUGACUUUGGGAUAACUUCAGGAAACUGGGGCUAAUACCGGGUAGGAGCUCCUGCUGCAUGGUGGGGGUUGGAAAGUUUCGGCGGUUGGGGCUGGACUCGCGGCUUAUCAGCUUGUUGGUGGGGUAGUGGCUUACCAAGGCUUUGACGGGUAGCCGGCCUGAGAGGGUGACCGGCCACAUUGGGACUGAGAUACGGCCCAGACUCCUACGGGAGGCAGCAGUGGGGAAUAUUGCACAAUGGGCGGAAGCCUGAUGCAGCAACGCCGCGUGCGGGAUGCCGGCCUUCGGGUUGUAAACCGCUUUCGCCUGUGACGAAGCGUGAGUGACGGUAAUGGGUAAAGAAGCACCGGCUAACUACGUG
This 468-nucleotide ribosomal RNA is filed under the name uncultured bacterium. RNAcentral describes it as "partial 16S ribosomal RNA". It matches the Rfam family "Bacterial small subunit ribosomal RNA", at positions 28 to 507 of the family's 1533-position model. The record is from RNAcentral.